RNAcentral lists this ribosomal RNA (274 nucleotides) under uncultured bacterium. RNAcentral's name for it is "partial 16S ribosomal RNA". It matches the Rfam family "Bacterial small subunit ribosomal RNA", at positions 28 to 290 of the family's 1533-position model. The record is from RNAcentral.
GACGAACGCUGGCGGCGUGCUUAACACAUGCAAGUCGAGCGGUAAGGCCUUUCGGGGUACACGAGCGGCGAACGGGUGAGUAACACGUGGGUGACCUGCCCUGCACUUCGGGAUAAGCCUGGGAAACUGGGUCUAAUACCGGAUGGGACCAUUCCAUGCAUGUGGGGUGGUGGAAAGUCGGUGCUGUUGCGGUGUCGGCGGUGGGGGAUGGGCCCGCGGUCUAUCAGCUUGUUGGGUGGGGUGAUGGCCUACCAAGGCGACGACGGAUAGCCGG